RNAcentral lists this ribosomal RNA (479 nucleotides) under uncultured bacterium. Its description in RNAcentral is "partial 16S ribosomal RNA". It matches the Rfam family "Bacterial small subunit ribosomal RNA", at positions 29 to 523 of the family's 1533-position model. The record is from RNAcentral.
AACAAACGCUGGCGGCGUGCCUAAUACAUGCAAGUCGAACGGGGAAAGCUUUCGGGUGAGUACUAGUGGCGCACGGGUGAGUAACGCGUGGAUAAUCUGCCCUCGAAUGGGGAAUAACUAGUCGAAAGAUUAGCUAAUACCGCAUAAGACCACGACUACUGAGGUAGUUGGGGUCAAAGGAGCAAUUCGUUUGAGGAUGAGUCCGCGUAAAAUUAGCUAGUUGGUGUGGUAAUGGCUCACCAAGGCGAUGAUCUUUAACUGGUCUGAGAGGAUGAUCAGUCACACUGGAACUGAGACACGGUCCAGACUCCUACGGGAGGCAGCAGUAGGGAAUAUUGGACAAUGGGGGCAACCCUGAUCCAGCGACGCCGCGUGAGCGAUGAAGGCCUUCGGGUCGUAGAGCUCUGUUGUAAGGGAAAAAGUUCUGAUUGUACCUUACGAGAAAGGAUCGGCUAACUUCGUGCCAGCAGCCGCGGUAA